CAGCCUGAAGGGAUGAGUUUGGUUCAUGUCUCUUCUCUGAGACUCGUGCUGCAGACACCACAAAGGCUCUGAUCAGGCAG
Molecule: small nucleolar RNA, 80 nt
Organism: Anser brachyrhynchus (Pink-footed goose)
Lineage: Eukaryota; Metazoa; Chordata; Aves; Anseriformes; Anatidae
Source: Ensembl